AAAAAAAACAAAAAAAUUCGCAGUCAGCAGGAUUCGAACCUACGCGGGCAGAGCCCAAUUGAUUUCGAGUCAAUCUCCUUAACCACUCGGACAUGACUGCACAG
Molecule: transfer RNA, 104 nt
Filed under: Caenorhabditis elegans
Lineage: Eukaryota; Metazoa; Nematoda; Chromadorea; Rhabditida; Rhabditidae
Description: Unclassified non-coding RNA Y7A5A.14
Source: RNAcentral